CAAAUCAUGCUCCCACAAUGAACCCUAAUCUUUUGUAUCUCCUCUUCCGUUCCAGUAUCGUCAUCGCCACCCGAGCAUAACUGCGUCAUUGGCCUCCUCGUUCCGGCACCGUCGUCGCCAUCCGAGCAUAACCACCUCAUUGGGUGCCCCAUUCUCUCCGUUUGUCGUGCCAUCUCCGUGCUCGAAAGCAUCGCCGUCGCCGUCUUCACAAGCAGCGCCGCCUUCCUCACGGACUUGCAAGUUAUCCACCAGCAAGUACGAGAUUCUGGAUAUGAAGAUUUAUUGGCGAUAAAUCUUUAGCUAUUGCUGCUUUAAGUAUCCUUCCUCGUUGGAAUUACUUUCAUUUUCUCAUAUUUUUAGGUGCCCCAAAAAAAAGCACCAAAGAAAAGAGAAAAUUCAUAUCAUAUAUGUUUUGUUAACUAUGUUAUUCUUUGUAAGCAAGAGUAAGAAACAGAAGUUGGUUACUUGACUAGUCUUACUUGUUCAUUCUUUUAUUUUAUUAGCUCAGGCAAUCACUCUAUCAACCUGUAUAGUUGCUCACAACAAUGCAUUGAUUGCUUUGUUGGUGUCAAAUAAUUUUGCUCAGAUAAAAAGCAAUGUAUUUAAACAAUACAGUAGGGACAAUGUAUACAGUUUGGUUUACUUUGUGGCAAAAUUAAAUUAUUGAAGGGCAAGUCAUGUGUGUCUGAUCGAGCAUGCUAUUGGCUUGGUUUUCUUUCUUAUUCAGAAAAAUGUCAAAAUCAAGUACCCUCAGUUGCUGUAUGAAUCAAAACCAAGCACCCUCUGUAGGUGUAUAUCAUUGACUUUGGUAUUGCUAAGAAAUACAGGGACAUUUCUACACAUCAGCAUAUUCUUUACAGAGAGAAUAAGAAUUUGACAUGAACGACUAGAUAUGCUACAAUGGUCAAUGGUGCCUCUCAUGGAUGGUUCUUUGAAUGCUGCAAUCAACACCUUUGAGCAUGAAGACCAAGUUGGUAUGGUAUUUGAAAUGUAUAAAAACUCUGCUGGCCUCUUCUAGCAGUUAGAAACCUCCAUUGAAUCAACUUUGGAAGAAAGUGAUCUGGAGAAAAGAGAAAAUGGGGAGCUCCUUGAAAUGAAGGUGGCAAUGAAAUUGGGAAGAAGCGUAUCACAGCUGAGGGAACUUGCCUCAAAAUCUGCUUCCUAUCGAAUAGAGGGAAUCACGGUUGAUGAAUUUGCCAGCAAGUUAUGAGAGGCUAACAUCACUAAUUCAUUCUUCUAGUAGUUUAACCUUUUUAAAAGUGAUCUAUAUGCAAGUUAUGAGCUAUGUUUAAGCUUGAAGUUGAGCUCUAUAUUUUGUAUUAUAUACACAUCUAUACAUCUAUAAUUAUUUUAAUAUAAAAAAAGCUCGAGCCAACUUUUGAGCUUUUAGUAAGUUGAAGUUGAAUUUGGUUUGAUGUGAUCAAGAUCUAGA
Arachis duranensis is the source of this 1432-nucleotide long non-coding RNA. RefSeq lists it as uncharacterized. Lineage: Eukaryota; Viridiplantae; Streptophyta; Magnoliopsida; Fabales; Fabaceae. The transcript has 4 exons. The record is from RefSeq and is a predicted model, not a curated record.